CAGCCGCCGCGGGAAUACGUAUGUCACGAGCGUUAUCCGGAUUUAUUGGGCGUAAAGCGCGUCUAGGUGGUUAUAUAAGUCUGAUGUGAAAAUGCAGGGCUCAACUCUGUAUUGCGUUGGAAACUGUAUAACUAGGGUACUGGAGAGGUAAGCGGAACUACAAGUGUAGAGGUGAAAUUCGUAGAUAUUUGUAGGAAUGCCGAUGGGGAAGCCAGCUUACUGGACAGAUACUGACGCUGAAGCGCGAAAGCGUGGGUAGCAAACAGGAUUAGAUACCCCCGUAGUCCCUGUCUCUUAUACA
This 301-nucleotide ribosomal RNA is filed under the name uncultured bacterium. Its description in RNAcentral is "partial 16S ribosomal RNA". It matches the Rfam family "Bacterial small subunit ribosomal RNA", at positions 509 to 808 of the family's 1533-position model. The record is from RNAcentral.